This 73-nucleotide transfer RNA is filed under the name Chelonia mydas (Green sea turtle). It matches the Rfam family "tRNA". Rfam says of the family: Transfer RNA (tRNA) molecules are approximately 80 nucleotides in length. Their secondary structure includes four short double-helical elements and three loops (D, anti-codon, and T loops). Lineage: Eukaryota; Metazoa; Chordata; Testudines; Cheloniidae. The record is from Rfam by way of RNAcentral.
GGGAGUGUGGCUUAGUGGAUAGAGCACUGGACUGCGACUUCAUGGACAAUGGGUUAUGUUCCUGCCUCUGCCA